Long non-coding RNA from Poecile atricapillus (Black-capped chickadee), 574 nucleotides. RefSeq lists it as uncharacterized. NCBI's taxonomy places the organism in Eukaryota, Metazoa, Chordata, Aves, Passeriformes, Paridae. The transcript has 3 exons. The record is from RefSeq and is a predicted model, not a curated record.
GGACAGGGGACACCGUCAGGCCCCGUUGUCAUUGGGAAAUGCCAAUUCUCCCUUUCCACAGCAGCUCCCAGCAGGGAUUGUCAGGGGGGUGCAGAGCACAGGGAGCCUCCUCUCACCCCCCACCUCCAGCUCCAGGGCACACCUGAGAGUUUGGGAUUUAUCCCAGGUGUAAAUCCCACCUGAAACCUUGGGAUUUAUCCCAGGUGUAAAUCCCAGCUGAAACCUCAGGAUUUAUCCCAGGUGAGGGGUAAAUCACACCUGAGAGCCUGAAGUUUGUCCCAGGUGUAAAUCCCACCUGAGUACCAGGAUUUCUCCCAGGUGUAAAUCCCAGCUGAGAGCCCCAGGAUUUCUCCCAGGUGUAAAUCCCAGCUGAGAGCCCCAGGAUUUCUCCCAGGUGUAAAUCCCACCUGAGUCCCAGGAUUUCUCCCAGGUGUAAAUCCCAGCUGAGUCCCAGGAUUUCUCCCAGGUGUAAAUCCCAGCUGAGAGCCCCAGGAUUUCUCCCAGGUGUAAAUCCCACCUGAGAGCCCCAGGAUUCCUCCCAGGUGUAAAUCCCAGCUGAAGCCCCCGCUGCUCC